GAUGAAGAACGUAGCGAAAUGCGAUAAGUAGUGUGAAUUGCAGAAUUCAGUGAAUCAUCGAAUCUUUGAACGCACAUUGCGCCCCAUGGUAUUCCGUGGGGCAUGCCUGUUCGAGCGUCAUUUACCCCCUCAAGCUCCGCUUGGUGUUGGGCGUCUGUCCCGCUUCGCGCGCGGACUCGCCCCAAAGGUAUUGGCAGCGGUCGUGCCAGCUUCUCGCGCAGCACAUUGCGCUUCUCGAGGCACCGGUAGGCCCGCGUCCAUCAAGCUCACCCCCCCAGUUUGACCUCGGAUCAGGUAGGGAUACCCGCUGAACUUAAGCAUAUCAAUAAGCGGAGGA
RNAcentral lists this unclassified non-coding RNA (337 nucleotides) under soil metagenome. RNAcentral's name for it is "partial contains 5.8S ribosomal RNA, internal transcribed spacer 2, and large subunit ribosomal RNA". The stretch from base 1 to 120 matches the Rfam family "5.8S ribosomal RNA", at positions 35 to 154 of the family's 154-position model. The record is from RNAcentral.